CACUAAUUAUUUUUGCAAAACUCACAUACACAAAUUUAGGCUUAUUUCGGUUUACACAAAAUGUUUGGCAUAUAAAUUCACAUACACAAUUUGGCAUAUCAAAAUUUUCCGCUCUUUACUUGGCUGCUGGUGUACCAGGACAACGUUGCUGCCGUUCACUGUUGUUUGCUUGGCCUAGCUUUCCUCCUGUUCCUACUUCUGGUGGCACCAUGUUUAUUAAAUAUUUAUUAAUUUAUUUUUUUUAUUAAACAAAAUUAUCUUUAUAUUAUUUUAUUAUAUUUAUUUUUAUAUUCUUUUCUUUUCUUUAUUUAUUUACUUACUCAUAAAUUUUUAUUCAUUUAUUUAUUCAAAUUUUUGUUUAUUUUAAAUUUUU
RNAcentral lists this long non-coding RNA (373 nucleotides) under Mytilus galloprovincialis (Mediterranean mussel). Lineage: Eukaryota; Metazoa; Mollusca; Bivalvia; Mytilida; Mytilidae. The record is from RNAcentral.